This 373-nucleotide unclassified non-coding RNA is filed under the name Hevea brasiliensis (rubber tree). Lineage: Eukaryota; Viridiplantae; Streptophyta; Magnoliopsida; Malpighiales; Euphorbiaceae. The record is from RNAcentral.
AUCACAAGUAAACGCUGCUUCAGGUGCCAUCAGUUUGAUCCAGCUACAAGAAGGGAUGAAGAAGUUGGACGGCGACAAUAAGGAAGAGGACAUGUUGAAAACCAUUGAAGGGAAAAAGGAUGCAAUGGUUAAUUCUCUAUGGAAAAUCAAUGUGGUUGACAUUGAGUCGACUCUUUCACAUGUCUGCCAGGCGGUUCUUAAGGACAGCAGUGUUUCGAAGGAUGUGCUGAAGUUGCGAGCCAGAGCGCUGAAGAAGUUGGGAACGAUAUUCCAGGGUGCCAAAGCUCUUUACCGGAGAGAGAACAGUCUUCGUGUUGAGACAGAUCCCGAUAAAAGACCUUCGUCGUCAAAGACAGCAUCGUAAAGCCGACAG